GAUGAAGAACGCAGCGAAAUGCGAUAAGUAGUGUGAAUUGCAGAAUUCAGUGAAUCAUCGAAUCUUUGAACGCACAUUGCGCCCCUUGGUAUUCCAUGGGGCAUGCCUGUUCGAGCGUCAUUUGUACCUUCAAGCUUUGCUUGGUGUUGGGUGUUUGUCCAUUCUCUUGCAGAGGGACUCGCCUUAAAGUAAUUGGCAGCCAGUGUUUUGGUUUUGAAGCGCAGCACAAGUCCCGAUUCAACGCUAUACGCCAGCUUCCACAAGCCUUUUUCACUUUUGACCUCGGAUCAGGUAGGGAUACCCGCUGAACUUAAGCAUAUCAAUAACGGAGGA
Molecule: unclassified non-coding RNA, 333 nt
Filed under: soil metagenome
Description: partial contains 5.8S ribosomal RNA, internal transcribed spacer 2, and large subunit ribosomal RNA
Rfam family: 5.8S ribosomal RNA (bases 1-120)
Source: RNAcentral